GGGGUCGACUGGUUUUGACAGCAGGUUCCCAUGACGGAGUAAGCAGGUCGAGCACUGAGACAAAGCUCGUAAAUCUUAUGUUUCACACUUUAAAUGGCGAGAAUAACUACGCUCUAGCUGCAUAAUUGACUGAAUUAUAGUAAGUCAUGCCAUGUCCUGACUAGGUCAGGAAGCCGGAUGUCUCCCGAUAGCCCUUGUUGACGGCGAUCGAUAUUGAGGCACCAUAAAUGUCAACAUCGAAAUGCUUCAGCAUCGGUAGUAUUUUUCAAUAAAGAUGAUAAGGGUUUCUAGGGCAGUUUUCGGUCACUGACACCUCGAAAAACAAACGAUAACUAAACCUGUAGAAAGCUUGGUUAUGACUUGUUUGGACGCGGGUUCGAUUCCCGCCGACUCCACUA
RNAcentral lists this transfer-messenger RNA (398 nucleotides) under Flavobacteriaceae bacterium. It matches the Rfam family "transfer-messenger RNA". Rfam says of the family: Bacterial tmRNA, also known as 10Sa RNA or SsrA, is named for its dual tRNA and mRNA-like properties. Its role is to liberate the mRNA from a stalled ribosome. The record is from RNAcentral. Lineage: Bacteria; Pseudomonadati; Bacteroidota; Flavobacteriia; Flavobacteriales; Flavobacteriaceae.